This 500-nucleotide ribosomal RNA is filed under the name uncultured bacterium. RNAcentral describes it as "partial 16S ribosomal RNA". It matches the Rfam family "Bacterial small subunit ribosomal RNA", at positions 30 to 523 of the family's 1533-position model. The record is from RNAcentral.
AUUGAACGCUGGCGGCAUGCUUUACACAUGCAAGUCGAACGGUAACAGGGAGCUUGCUCCGCUGACGAGUGGCGAACGGGUGAGUAAUGUAUCGGAACGUACCCAAGAGUGGGGGAUAACGUAGCGAAAGUUACGCUAAUACCGCAUACGAUCCAAGGAUGAAAGUGGGGGACCUUCGGGCCUCAUGCUCCUGGAGCGGCCGAUAUCUGAUUAGCUAGUUGGUGAGGUAAAGGCUCACCAAGGCGACGAUCAGUAGCUGGUCUGAGAGGAUGAUCAGCCACACUGGAACUGAGACACGGUCCAGACUCCUACGGGAGGCAGCAGUGGGGAAUAUUGGACAAUGGGCGAGAGCCUGAUCCAGCCAUGCCGCGUGUGUGAAGAAGGCCUUCGGGUUGUAAAGCACUUUAAGCGAGGAGGAAGGUUCGUUACUUAAUACGUAACGGAAUUGACGUUACUCGCAGAAUAAGCACCGGCUAACUCUGUGCCAGCCGCCGCAGUAA